This 506-nucleotide ribosomal RNA is filed under the name uncultured bacterium. Its description in RNAcentral is "partial 16S ribosomal RNA". It matches the Rfam family "Bacterial small subunit ribosomal RNA", at positions 29 to 523 of the family's 1533-position model. The record is from RNAcentral.
AGUGAACGCUGGCGGUAGGCCUAACACAUGCAAGUCGAACGGCAGCACAGGAGAGCUUGCUCUCUGGGUGGCGAGUGGCGGACGGGUGAGGAAUACAUCGGAAUCUACUUUUUCGUGGGGGAUAACGUAGGGAAACUUACGCUAAUACCGCAUACGACCUACGGGUGAAAGCAGGGGACCUUCGGGCCUUGCGCGAUUGAAUGAGCCGAUGUCGGAUUAGCUAGUUGGCGGGGUAAAGGCCCACCAAGGCGACGAUCCGUAGCUGGUCUGAGAGGAGGAUCAGCCACACUGGAACUGAGACACGGUCCAGACUCCUACGGGAGGCAGCAGUGGGGAAUAUUGGACAAUGGGCGCAAGCCUGAUCCAGCCAUACCGCGUGGGUGAAGGAGGCCUUCGGGUUGUAAAGCCCUUUUGUUGGGAAAGGAAUCCAGCUGGCUAAUACCCGGUUGGGAUGACGGUACCCAAAGAAUAAGCACCGGCUAACUUCGUGCCAGCCGCCGCCGUAA